GGGGUUGUGGCUCAGUGGUAGAGCUCUUGCCUAGCACAUGCAAGACACUGGGUUCAAUCCUCAGCAUUACCU
Non-coding RNA from Ictidomys tridecemlineatus (thirteen-lined ground squirrel), 72 nucleotides. Lineage: Eukaryota; Metazoa; Chordata; Mammalia; Rodentia; Sciuridae. The record is from Rfam.